Molecule: ribosomal RNA, 429 nt
Filed under: uncultured Chloroflexota bacterium
Lineage: Bacteria; Bacillati; Chloroflexota
Description: bacterial SSU rRNA
Rfam family: Bacterial small subunit ribosomal RNA
Source: RNAcentral
CAGCGGAGCGUGUGGUUUAAUUCGACGCAACGCGAAGAACCUUACCUGGGCUUGACAUGCGCGUGUACGACCUCGAAAGGGAGACCGGCGCACAGAUGUGACGAGCGCAACCCUCGCUGCCAGUUAGGGAUGUCAAGUAGCACGGCUCUUACGUCCAGGCUACAUACAUGGCCGGUACACGCGCGGCGAUGGGGCGACCCGGAGCGUCGCAGCAAAGCCGGUCUCAGUUGGGAUUGCAGUGCAGCUCGCCUGCAUGAACGCGGAGUUGCUAGUAACCGAGGUCAGCACACUGCGGUGAAUACGUUCCCGGGCCUUGUACACACCGCCGUCACGUCAUGAAAGUUGGAGACGCCUGAAGUCGGUUCGCUAACCCUCCGGGGAGGCAGCCGCCGAGGUGGGGCCAGCGAUUGGGACGAAGUCGUACAAGGU